RNAcentral lists this ribosomal RNA (496 nucleotides) under uncultured bacterium. RNAcentral describes it as "partial 16S ribosomal RNA". It matches the Rfam family "Bacterial small subunit ribosomal RNA", at positions 29 to 507 of the family's 1533-position model. The record is from RNAcentral.
AUGCACGCUGGCGGCGUGCCUCAUCCAUGCAAGUCGCGCGAACAGACGAGGAGCUUGCUCCUCUGACGUUAGCGGCGGACGGGUGAGUAACACGUGGAUAACCUACCUAUAAGACUGGGAUAACUUCGGGAAACCGGAGCUAAUACCGGAUAAUAUAUUGAACCGCAUGGUUCAAUAGUGAAAGACGGUUUUGCUGUCACUUAUAUAUGGAUCCGCGCCGCAUUAGCUAGUUGGUAAGGUAACGGCUUACCAAGGCAACGAUGCGUAGCCGACCUGAGAGGGUGAUCGGCCACACUGGAACUGAGACACGGUCCAGACUCCUACGGGAGGCAGCAGUAGGGAAUCUUCCGCAAUGGGCGAAAGCCUGACGGAGCAACGCCGCGUGAGUGAUGAAGGUCUUCGGAUCGUAAAACUCUGUUAUUAGGGAAGAACAAAUGUGUAAGUAACUAUGCACGUCUUGACGGUACCUAAUCAGAAAGCCACGGCUAACUACGUG